Molecule: ribosomal RNA, 497 nt
Filed under: uncultured bacterium
Lineage: Bacteria
Description: partial 16S ribosomal RNA
Rfam family: Bacterial small subunit ribosomal RNA
Source: RNAcentral
GAUGAACGCUGGCGGCGUGCCUAAUACAUGCAAGUCGAGCGAACGGACGAGAAGCUUGCUUCUCUGAUGUUAGCUGCGGAUGGGUGAGUAACACGUGGAUAACCUACCUAUAAGUCUGGGAUAACUUCGGGAAACCGUAGCUAAUACCGGAUAAUAUUUUGAACCGUAUGGUUCCAAAGUGACAGACGGUCUUGCUGUCACCUAUAGAUGGAUCCGCGCUGCAUUAGCUAGAUGGUAAGGUAACGGCUUAACAAGGCAACGAUGCAUAGCCGACCUGAGAGGGUGAUCGGCCAGACUGGAAGUGAGACACGGUCCAGACUCCGGCGGGGGGCAGCAGUAGGGAAUCUUCCGCGAUGGGCGAAAGCCUGACGGAGCAAAGCCGCGUGAGUGAUGAAGGUCUUCGGAUCGUAAAACUCUGUUAUUAGGGAAGAACAUAUGUGUAAGUAACUGUGCACAUCUUGACGGUACCUAAUCAGAAAGCCACGGCUAACUACGUG